AACGAAGACCAGUUGCUGUGGAAGCUUGGAUGGAGACUUCUUAUUGUAACAGUCCCGCUGCUGGAGAAACUCGAUUAUUGAUGAAGUUAGAAAGAAGUUCGGAGUAGAGACCCGACAGGUGGAGCCUGUUUGUUGUAGGAGUUCGUCUGUGAUCCAUCCACCAUAGAAGUUUGGAUGGAGUCUGCUUGCAAUAGAAGUUCGGGGUAGAGAUCCAACUCUUAUAGGAGCUCGGAUGAAAUCCGAAAGGCGGUCAACCAUCGUAGAAACUUGGAUGGAGUCUGGUUGCCAUAGAAGUUCUGCUAUUGGAGAAGCUCGGACAUUGUUGAAGUUCGAAAGAAGUUCGGAGUAAAGUCGUUCGUGGCCGGAAGA
Molecule: long non-coding RNA, 369 nt
Filed under: Elaeis guineensis (African oil palm)
Lineage: Eukaryota; Viridiplantae; Streptophyta; Magnoliopsida; Arecales; Arecaceae
Description: long non-coding RNA (EGUI_LNC082212)
Source: RNAcentral